UACGGAGGGGGCUAGCGUUGUUCGGAUUUACUGGGCGUAAAGAGCGCGUAGGCGGUUUAGUAAGUUGGUGGUGAAAUCCCGGGGCUUAACCUCGGAACUGCUUCCAAAACUGCUAGGCUAGAGUGUAGUAGGGGAUGAUGGAAUUCCUAGUGUAGAGGUGAAAUUCUUAGAUAUUAGGAGGAACACCGGUGGCGAAGGCGGUCAUCUGGGCUACAACUGACGCUGAGGCGCGAAAGCGUGGGGAGCAAACAGG
This 253-nucleotide ribosomal RNA is filed under the name uncultured bacterium. Its description in RNAcentral is "partial 16S ribosomal RNA". It matches the Rfam family "Bacterial small subunit ribosomal RNA", at positions 524 to 776 of the family's 1533-position model. The record is from RNAcentral.